Molecule: small RNA, 29 nt
Filed under: Bombyx mori (domestic silkworm)
Lineage: Eukaryota; Metazoa; Arthropoda; Insecta; Lepidoptera; Bombycidae
Description: ovarian small RNA-33904
Source: RNAcentral
UGCCUUGGUGGCUCCGCUACAGGUGGACA